Tachyglossus aculeatus (Australian echidna) is the source of this 138-nucleotide small nucleolar RNA. The record is from RefSeq and is a predicted model, not a curated record. NCBI's taxonomy places the organism in Eukaryota, Metazoa, Chordata, Mammalia, Monotremata, Tachyglossidae.
GGCCUCCUAGGGUGGCACCUGGGGAGUUUCCAGUCCUCUACCUGUCUCGACUAUGGGAGGAAGAGUCAAACAGAGGCAUAUCCAUUCCAUUCCUAGCUUGGGCACUGGCUAGCGAGUGGAAGGCAAUCUGCUACAAGU